UACGUAGGGGCUAGCGUUAUCCGGAAUUACUGGGCGUAAAGGGUGCGUAGGUGGUUUCUUAAGUCAGAGGUGAAAGGCUACGGCUCAACCGUAGUAAGCCUUUGAAACUGGGAAACUUGAGUGCAGGAGAGGAGAGUGGAAUUCCCGGUGUAGCGGUGAAAUGCGUAGAGAUCGGGAGGAACACCAGUGGCGAAGGCGGGUAACUGGACUGCAACUGACGCUGAGGCGCGAAAGUGUGGGGAGCAAAACAGGAUUAGAUACCCGUGUAGUCCCUGAGCGGGCU
This 283-nucleotide ribosomal RNA is filed under the name uncultured prokaryote. RNAcentral describes it as "partial 16S ribosomal RNA". It matches the Rfam family "Bacterial small subunit ribosomal RNA", at positions 524 to 817 of the family's 1533-position model. The record is from RNAcentral.